Molecule: long non-coding RNA, 923 nt
Filed under: Capra hircus (goat)
Lineage: Eukaryota; Metazoa; Chordata; Mammalia; Artiodactyla; Bovidae
Description: lncRNA (ENSCHIG00000003765.1)
Source: RNAcentral
CAAGAGAAAGCGUGGUCAGCAGGGAGCACCAGCUUCCCUCUCCAGGAAGAUGGGCUCCAGAGCCUACCUGGGUGACAAAAGAAAAGGAAACUAGUAGGGUGAGAGGAAAAGGACAUUAGAAGCCUGUGCUCUCAUUGACACCACCGCAAGAGCCUGGGAACCUGAAUACGUCCACCCUGAGAGUGUUGCUACAGGGUUUGAUCUUGUGAGCUGCUCAAGUUGCUGCCACUACUGCCCAGGAAGCCAGGAGUGACUCUGCCUGCAACUUUUACUUCACUGAUGAUACCAGAAGCAGAAAAAACCAAAAAGAUACCUUCUCCCUUCUUCCCUCCUUCUAGUCUCCUCCAGUGCCCGCCAUUGGCAGAACCUAACUGGAAGCCCCCAGGGUGGGAAUGGGCCUGAGGAAUAUUGUAAUACUGUUUGCAGGCUUCCAGCCCCUGCGAAACAGCAAGAAGCACAGAUGGCCAGAAUGGCAUGAGGCAAAGGAUGCCACAGGCUUCAGCCUCCUGCAGUGGAAGAAUUGGGAAAUACAUUUAGCUGCUUAUUACUCGCUGAGGGAACUUCUAAGAACCAAUGUCCAGUUUCACUCUGCAGUCCCGAUGCCAUUGGUCUGGGGCAUGGCCUGGAUAGCAGGAAUUUUAAAAGCCCCUCAGGAGAUUCUGAAGUUUAAAGAAGGUGUAAAACUGGGGAACGUGGAGCUCCAGGUGUCCAUGUGGAUUUGAGCAGCAAUCUUCCUUACCAAAUUGCCGGCUUGGAUAAUCAUGUCUCAAGCUUCAAAGAUGCAGUAUAAUGUGGUGGUUGAAGAACUAAUCUUCCUUAUUUCGGAUUCUAGAUCUGCCGUUUACAAACUGUGUGACCCUGGCCGUGAUACUUAAUAUCACUGAGUUUCAGUUCUCUUGUCUCUUAAGUGGGUAUCAGUGUGG